Molecule: non-coding RNA, 660 nt
Organism: Heterocephalus glaber (naked mole-rat)
Lineage: Eukaryota; Metazoa; Chordata; Mammalia; Rodentia; Bathyergidae
Source: RefSeq, a predicted model, not a curated record
UUCCCUUCCUGCAGGAGCUACUCUGCCCCACCUUCCUUCCUGGAGAGGAGGACCUGCCCUUUCCUCCUGCAGAGCUGCCCUGAGAGAAGAACACUGCGAAGGCAAGAUAGUUUCUGGAAGUCUCUGCAGGGCUGAGGUCAGAAAGAAGGUUCCGACAAGAAGGGAGAGGACAAUAGAAGAGGCUUUCCACUGGGUGGAAUUUUAAAUUUGAACAAUGGUUCAAAGGCUAAGAGACAAACUGCUCAUUACUGGCAAGAGUGCCAAGAAUCCUGGGAAGUCGACCUCACUCCCCACUGGAGCACUGCACCUCAUAGUAAGGGCUUCUUUCAUAGUCACGGGAAGGUUGGAUCAGCAUUUCUUUUCAUUCCCAUCUUCUUUCAGGAACUGCUGGGAUAAAAGGGAGCCUAGGCGAAUAAAAAAUUCACAAACAGGACAAGAAUAAAAUAUUUAGCGCAAGAGAUCAGAAAUCCUUUGGUUACUCAGUGAACUGAACUAACUCUACUAAGAAAAGGUAUAAGGAAAUAAAUGUCCAUCAAAGUCCAAGUCACAGCAGGUAUUAGCCUUCAGACCCAUUCACACAGGUUCUAAGCAAGGUUGUCCUUCAUAGUAAGUUGCAGAGACUCAUAUUAAUCCAGUGAUAAAAUGGAACAGUUUUGUCAU